GAUGAACGCUGGCGGCGUGCCUAAUACAUGCAAGUCGAACGCUGGAGCUCUAGCUUGCUUGCUCGAAGGAGUGGCGAACGGGUGAGUAAUACAUAUGCAACCUACCCACGAAGACUGGGAUAAUCUCUGGAAACGGGGACUAAUACCGGGAAGGUAUACGGAAGCCCUCUUCUGGUUAUUAAAGGACGAAAUCACUGGUGGAUGGAGUUAUGGCGCCUCAGUUUGUUGGUGAGGUAACGGCCCACCAAGACGAUGGUGCGUAGCCGGCAGGGGGGGGGGAACGGCCACAUUUGGACCGAGACCCGGCCCAGACUCCGACGGGGGGGAGGGGUAGGGAAUUUUCGGCGAGGGGGGCAACCCUGACCGAGCAACGCCGGGUGUGAGAAGACGGGCUUCGGGUUGUAAAGCUCUGAGGUAAGGGAAGAACGGUAGAUAGAUAAGAUCUAAGUGACGGUACCUUACCAGAAAGCCACGGCUAACUACGUG
This 486-nucleotide ribosomal RNA is filed under the name uncultured bacterium. RNAcentral's name for it is "partial 16S ribosomal RNA". It matches the Rfam family "Bacterial small subunit ribosomal RNA", at positions 28 to 507 of the family's 1533-position model. The record is from RNAcentral.